This is a long non-coding RNA of Equus caballus (horse), 3490 nucleotides long. The record is from Ensembl. Lineage: Eukaryota; Metazoa; Chordata; Mammalia; Perissodactyla; Equidae.
UCAAUAUUCUCAUACUUUGUUCUUGGAUGUCUUUAAUUUAUAUGGAAAGUUUGGUCCUUUGGGGUUUUCUUUUUAAGCUUUGCUAGCAGGACCAGAAAUAAAGGUUGUUUCGAUGGCUAAUUCAUCCUGAACACUGAGGCAAAAUCUUUCUGAGUCCUCCACCAUAUGCUGCCUGAAUUAUAGGUUUUCUAAUUUGUAUGGUGCAAACAGGCACUAUUCCCAGCUCUAUGCAAGCCCAGGUAUUAUUCCCUCUAAUCCUUUCAGGUGCUUCUUUCCCCAGCCUUGGGUAGUUUUCUCACUUGCUCUGAUUAGUAUUUAGCUAAAGACUCUCGGGGAACUUCAGGUAUGUCUCCGGCAUUUUUUCUCUGCUCUCUCCUAUGAAGCUCACUCCUGUCUGAUGUGCUGUCCUGUGAUUUCCAGCUGCCUUGGCUUCUCUGGGCUUUCAGUUUUGUCCUCUCAACUCACAGAGUCUGCAGGUUCCACCCAGGCUCCAUCUCUUGGAAUUGCGACUUGGGAGCUCUCUUAAAGCAAUAAGCUAUGGCAAUCAUAAGCUUACUUGACUUGUUUCCUGUCUCUCAGGGAAGAAUGCACUUAAUUGCCUGAUAUCCAAUGUCUUAAAAAUGCUUGUUUUGUAUAUUUUGGCCAGUUUAAAAAAAUUAUUUUUUAGGCAGAAUGGUAAAUCUGUGCUACUUGGAUUCCUAUGAAUCCUUGAUAGUUCCCCCUGCAGAGAUGGAAGUCACUUCCCCUGACCAGGCCACUAGUAACUUUAGAUGAGAGAAGAGAGUCUCCAGCCUUCAGAGAUGGAAAGCACUUUCCUGGGCUGAGCUCUUUGAUCCAGAGGAGGAAUGUACCUGGGAUACCUUGUGAUGCGAAGUUGGAGGUUGGGAGAUUCCAGGCCUGGAUCACCUUGUGCUGUUGGAUAGAUUAUAAGGGAGGACCUCUGUGAGCAUCCAAGUGUGAACUAUUGAGAAGUUGAAGAGUGGAAAAACGUAAAUAAUGGAGGAAGUUUGCAAAGCAAAAGGGAAUAGGGAUUUCCCAGGAAUAAGUAAGAUUAGCCCUGAGCUAACAUCUGCUGCCAAUCUUCCUCUUUUUGCUGAGGAAGACCAGCCUGAGCUAACAUCCAUGCCCAUCUUCCUCUACUUGAUAUGUGGGACCCCUACAACAGAAUGGCUUGCUGAGUGUGUCCGCACCCGGGAUCCGAACCGGCGAAUCCCGGGCCGCCAAAGUGGAACGUGCAAACUUAACUGCUGAGCCACCGGGCCAGCCCUUGAUCCUUAUUUUUUGUAAAUUAUCAGAGAGGUGGUGGCUGCCUGGAGGGCCGGAGGAGCAGCAGAGAACACAGCAGCCAACCCUGUCAGAGCGCCUACCCGCAUCCCCCAGCACUCAGUGGCUCAGUGCUCACAGACUUCCAACUGCAACGCAACCCUGUCAGAGCGCCUACCCGCAUCCCCCAGCACUCAGUGGCUCAGUGCUCACAGACUUCCAACUGCAACGCAACCCUGUCAGAGCGCCUACCCGCAUCCCCCAGCACUCAGUGGCUCAGUGCUCACAGACUUCAACUGCAACGCAACCCUGUCAGAGCGCCUACCUGCAUCCCCCAGCACUCCGUGGCUCAGUGCUCACAGACUUCAACUGCAACGCCUUGCUUAGGGACUUCCUAUGGCCUCUAGAGCUGGCAGUUAGUGUGGGCCAGGCAGGCAGAAAGUGCCUUGCCCGUAAUACCCCUGGAAACAGUCAAGGACUGGCUGGAGUUGGUGGAAAAUACCCUGGCGGAAGGCAACUCUGAGGCAUGCUCCAUGUGCCCUCGCAGAGGUCCCCAGUGGACCUGAGCCCCACCUGCCCGUGGAGCUAACCUGCUCAUUAGUGCACCACGCACUGGCUUCCUUCAGUUCCUUAUCUUAACUCCCCAUUCCCUUAUGAUGGGAUUGACUCCCAAAUCAAUGUUUUGCACUCAAAUCUUCCUCUCAGGGUCUGUGUCUGGGGGAACCUAACGUAAGACAAAUACCAUGCGUGAGGUUUAACAUGAGCACAGACCACGGAAGUGGCUGCUUGCACACCAGGUGUUUUGCAGCCCUCAUUUGAGUGUUGAGAAGAGAAGUCGUAGGUGUGUGGCUGUGCAACAUUGUGCUGUCAUCGGUAAAGUCAGGGAAGAAUAGCUACCUCCCAGGUUUUGGAAAAAAUAAACUACAUGAUUCUCCUGCAUGUGCUUUUCUUUUAACAACGUCAGAUUGUGUUUAUGAGUAAAGUUGAUAGAAGUUAGAUUGAUGCAUCUGUCCAAGGAUUGGCCUACAGAAAAUCAGUUCUCCUCAAAAAAUGAUACAGGAAGGGCUCAGCCAAUCCUGGCUGAUCCCAGACCUGAAUCCACCAGAGACAGUUAUUGCCAUCAUGAGAUGCUUAGAACAAAAGAACAUGGAUUAAGUUAGAACCUAUGUUCCAAGUCAGUCUCAACGUAAAAGUACUUUUCAAAACUUGAGGGAUGUAGCUAGCAUAUUGUUGGCAAAGUACUAAAGUCUCCUGAGUUAGUUCAGAGGAGAAGCAACAUACAAAAGGUGUUGAGAAAUGGUGGAGGGUGAGGAAGAACUCUGGAAACAAAAAAAAAGAGAAAGAUCUGAUUAUUUAGCCUCACCAAGGCUCAGUUUGUCCAUCUGUAAAACAGAGGUAAUGGGACCCUCAAGGUUGUAGCAAAGAAUAGAUGUUAAUGCGGUGCCGGGCACAUGGUAUUCACACAAUGCAUGCAAGCUGUAUUGUUAAUAUUAUGACUAUUUGGCUGAAACUGCAUAAACUAGCCUCAUGUCAUCCGCAAGAUUAUAACAUAGUUUACAUAAUUACAUGGGUUUGUUUAUACGGACUACUGCAGUCUUUUAAUUAUGCUCGGGAAUGCUAGAACUCAACAAUCGGGGCUCGUGGCUCUGAAGUUCCAUUAGUUCUGGCUGCACGAUUAUAUUGUAUAGUAAUCCAGUGUGUUUUUUUCCAAUAAAAGAUUGUGUAAAAAGUCUAUUCAUUUCUUACUGCUGCAGCAAGACAACAUCUUUUGGAGAGGAAGAUGUGGGGUUCCGUUUUAAAGGAAGCGAUUCCUAUUGCUUGGCGGUACAAAUUCAUCCUCAAGAGCUACUGGAAAUCAAUUAAAUUUGGUCUUCACUGUGGAAUCUGAGGAGCGCCUGUGGUUAAAAUGGCUGCUUUGGGCAGAGCAAAGAGGUGAAUGUUUGUCCUGCUGCUUCCUGGAACUCAUUGGCUUAAAAUAAUUUUCUUGAAGCAAAUAAGAUGAAAGAAGCUGAGGAAGAGGAUGGAGUUUUGAAUGGCCUGCAAAGGCCAAUGUGGCCCCUUGUUUUCCAGGACAAGGACAGCUCACCUCGUGAGAUUACAAAGGGAAAGCUUGACUGCGAGGUUAUCUGCCACUGUGCAGAAUCCACUGCCUCCUGAGUUUGGUGUCUGCAUCGCAGAAGUGUGAUCUCUCUCACAGUGUUGCAAUUUAUGAGAAUUUCUUGCAUGA